UACAGAGGUCUCAAGCGUUGUUCGGAUUCAUUGGGCGUAAAGGGUGUGUAGGUGGCGCGCUAAGUCGGGUGUGAAAUUUCGGAGCUUAACUCCGAAACUGCAUUCGAUACUGGCGUGCUAGAGGACUGGAGAGGAGACUGGAAUUUACGGUGUAGCAGUGAAAUGCGUAGAUAUCGUAAGGAAGACCAGUGGCGAAGGCGGGUCUCUGGACAGUUCCUGACACUGAGACACGAAGGCCAGGGGAGCAAACGGG
This 253-nucleotide ribosomal RNA is filed under the name uncultured bacterium. RNAcentral's name for it is "partial 16S ribosomal RNA". It matches the Rfam family "Bacterial small subunit ribosomal RNA", at positions 524 to 776 of the family's 1533-position model. The record is from RNAcentral.